AACGAACGAUGGCGGCAGGCUUAACACAUGCAAGUCGAGCGCCCCGCAAGGGGAGCGGCAGACGGGUGAGUAACGCGUGGGAACGUACCUUUUGGUUCGGAACAACUCCGGGAAACUGGAGCUAAUACCGGAUAAGCCCUAACGGGGAAAGAUUUAUCGCCGAAAGAUCGGCCCGCGUCUGAUUAGCUAGUUGGUGAGGUAACGGCUCACCAAGGCGACGAUCAGUAGCUGGUCUGAGAGGAUGAUCAGCCACACUGGGACUGAGACACGGCCCAGACUCCUACGGGAGGCAGCAGUGGGGAAUAUUGGACAAUGGGCGCAAGCCUGAUCCAGCCAUGCCGCGUGAGUGAUGAAGGCCUUAGGGUUGUAAAGCUCUUUUGUCCGGGAAGAUAAUGACUGUACCGGAAGAAUAAGCCCCGGCUAACUUCGUG
This 431-nucleotide ribosomal RNA is filed under the name uncultured bacterium. Its description in RNAcentral is "partial 16S ribosomal RNA". It matches the Rfam family "Bacterial small subunit ribosomal RNA", at positions 29 to 507 of the family's 1533-position model. The record is from RNAcentral.